AAACUUUGCAGUCUCAGCUUGAGCAUAUUUCAUCUAUGUUACAGCGAUUUCUCCCUCCUCAGGUUCCUGAUACUUCAACAGCUCGCAGAGAUGAUGAUGGGGCUGAAUGCGGUCCCUGAUAUUUUUUAGACUGUUAUUUAAUGAGUUUUAUAUGUAUCUUUCUUAUAUUUUUCAAAAUACAUUGUAAUUCUAAACUUAUGUAAAUUUAAUCUUAUAUGACAAUAUGAAUGUUUCGAAUGA
Phoenix dactylifera (date palm) is the source of this 240-nucleotide long non-coding RNA. RefSeq lists it as uncharacterized. The record is from RefSeq and is a predicted model, not a curated record. Lineage: Eukaryota; Viridiplantae; Streptophyta; Magnoliopsida; Arecales; Arecaceae.